RNAcentral lists this ribosomal RNA (440 nucleotides) under uncultured bacterium. RNAcentral's name for it is "partial 16S ribosomal RNA". It matches the Rfam family "Bacterial small subunit ribosomal RNA", at positions 338 to 795 of the family's 1533-position model. The record is from RNAcentral.
CCUACGGGUGGCAGCAGUAGGGAAUAUUGCUCAAUGGGGGAAACCCUGAAGCAGCAACGCCGCGUGGAGGAUGAAGGUUUUCGGAUCGUAAACUCCUUUUGUUAGAGAAGAUAAUGACGGUCUCCAAUGAAUAAGCACCGGCUAACUCCGUGCCAGCAGCCGCGGUAAUACGGAGGGUGCAAGCGCUAAUCGGAAGCACUGGGCGUAAAGAGCGCGUAGGCGGGUUAGCAAGUCAGAUGUGAAAUCCUAUGGCUUAACCAUAGAACUGCAUUUGAAACUGUGAGUCUAGAGUAUGGGAGAGGUAGGUGGAAUUCUAGGGGUAGGAGUAAAAUCCGUAGAGAUCAAGAGGAAUACUCAUGGCGAAGGCGACCUGCUGGAACAUGACUGACGCUGAGGCGCGAAAGCGUGGGGAGCAAACAGGAUUAGAUACCCUUGUAGUC